UAAAAAACUAGGAUUAGAUACCCUAUUAUUUAAAAUGUAAAUAUAAAUAUUAAAGUAGUAAUAGUUAUGUUCUUGAAACUUAAAAAAUUUGGCGGUAUUUUAGUCUAUCCAGAGGAACCUGUUUUGUAAUCGAUAAUCCACGAUGGACCUUACUUAAAUUUGUAAUCAGUUUAUAUACCGUCGUUAUCAGAAUAUUUUAUAAGAAUAAUAAUAUUCAAUAAUUUUAAUAAAAAUUUAUAUCAGAUCAAGGUGUAGCUUAUAUUUAAGUAAUAAUGGGUUACAAUAAAAUUAUUUAUACGGAUAAAAUUAUGAAAAAGUUUUUGAAGGUGGAUUUGGUAGUAAAAUUAUAAAGAUAAAUAAUUUGAUUUUAGCUCUAAAAUAUGUACACAUCGCCCGUCGCUCUUAUUAUUAAGGU
This 415-nucleotide ribosomal RNA is filed under the name Drosophila persimilis. Its description in RNAcentral is "partial 12S small ribosomal RNA". The record is from RNAcentral. RNAcentral also lists the same sequence under 2 other names. Lineage: Eukaryota; Metazoa; Arthropoda; Insecta; Diptera; Drosophilidae.